This is a ribosomal RNA of Lactococcus garvieae Lg2, 2902 nucleotides long. It matches the Rfam family "Bacterial large subunit ribosomal RNA". The record is from Rfam. Lineage: Bacteria; Bacillati; Bacillota; Bacilli; Lactobacillales; Streptococcaceae.
GGCAAAGUUAAUAAGGGCGCACGGUGGAUGCCUUGGCAUUAAGAGCCGAAGAAGGACGUGACUAACGACGAUAUUCUAGGGGGAGCAGUAAGUACGCAUUGAUCCCUAGGUCUCCGAAUGGGGAAACCCACUAUGUUAUGCAUAGUAUCCGUAAGUGAAUACAUAGCUUACGCGAAGGUAACGCAGAGAACUGAAACAUCUAAGUACCUGCAGGAAGAGAAAGUAAAAACGAUUUCCUAAGUAGCGGCGAGCGAACGGGAAACAGGCCAAACCAAGAAGCUUGCUUCUUGGGGUUGUAGGACUGCAACGUGGACUUAAAGUCUAUAGAAGAAUUACCUGGGAAGGUAAGCCAAAGAGAGUAAUAGCCUCGUAUUUGAAAUAGACUUUAUACCUAGCAGUAUCCUGAGUAGGGCUGGACACGCGAAAUCCAGUUUGAAUCCGGGAGGACCAUCUCCCAAGCCUAAAUACUCCUUAAUGACCGAUAGUGAACCAGUACCGUGAGGGAAAGGUGAAAAGAACCCCGGGAGGGGAGUGAAAUAGCACCUGAAACCGUGUGCCUACAAGAAGUUCGAGCCCGUCAAUGGGUGAGAGCGUGCCUUUUGUAGAAUGAACCGGCGAGUUACGUUAUGAUGCGAGGUUAAGCUGAAGAGGCGGAGCCGUAGCGAAAGCGAGUCUGAAUAGGGCGCUUUAGUAUCAUGAUGUAGACCCGAAACCUAGUGACCUAUCCAUGAGCAGGUUGAAGGUGCGGUAAGACGCACUGGAGGACCGAACCAGGACACGUUGAAAAGUGUUUGGAUGACUUGUGGAUAGCGGAGAAAUUCCAAACGAACUGGGAGAUAGCUGGUUCUCUCCGAAAUAGCUUUAGGGCUAGCGUCGCAAUUUAAGUGUAUUGGAGGUAGAGCACUGUUUGGAUGAGGGGCCCAUCUCGGGUUACCAAUUUCAGAUAAACUCCGAAUGCUAAUACACAUGUGCGGCAGUCAGACUGCGAGUGCUAAGAUCCGUAGUCGAAAGGGAAACAGCCCAGACCACCAGCUAAGGUCCCAAAAUAUAUGUUAAGUGGAAAAGGAUGUGGGGUUGCACAGACAACUAGGAUGUUAGCUCAGAAGCAGCUAUCAUUCAAAGAGUGCGUAAUAGCUCACUAGUCGAGUGACCCUGCGCCGAAAAUGUACCGGGGCUAAACAUAUUACCGAAGCUGUGGAUUUAAUAUUAAUUAAAUGGUAGGAGAGCGUUGUAAUCAGCGAUGAAGGUAUACCGUGAGGGGUGCUGGAGCGAUUACAAGUGAGAAUGCCGGUAUGAGUAGCGCAAGAUAAGUGAGAAUCUUAUCCACCGUAAGACUAAGGUUUCCAGGGGAAGGCUCGUCCGCCCUGGGUUAGUCGGGACCUAAGGCGAGGCCGAAAGGCGUAGUCGAUGGACAACAGGUUGAUAUUCCUGUACUAGUAUUGUUAGUGAUGGAGGGACGCAGUAGGCUAAAGGGAGCCAGUUAAUGGAUUCUGGUCUAAGCAGUGAGGUGUGGAAUGUGUCAAAUGCAUUUUCCUUUAACAUUGAGCUGUGAUGGGGAAGCAACUACGGUUGCGAAGCCCUUGAUGUCACACUGCCAAGAAAAUCUUCUAGCGUUUAAUUCAAUACUACCCGUACCGCAAACCGACACAGGUAGUCGAGGCGAGUAGCCUCAGGUGAUCGAGAGAACUCUCGUUAAGGAACUCGGCAAAAUGACCCCGUAACUUCGGGAGAAGGGGUGCUGUAGAAAUACAGCCGCAGUGAAAAGAUCCAAGCAACUGUUUAUCAAAAACACAGCUCUCUGCUAAACCGCAAGGUGAUGUAUAGGGGGUGACGCCUGCCCGGUGCUGGAAGGUUAAGAGGAGGGGUUAGACAUUAGUCGAAGCUCUGAAUUGAAGCCCCAGUAAACGGCGGCCGUAACUAUAACGGUCCUAAGGUAGCGAAAUUCCUUGUCGGGUAAGUUCCGACCCGCACGAAAGGCGUAAUGAUUUGGAUACUGUCUCAACGAGAGACUCGGUGAAAUUUUAGUACCUGUGAAGAUGCAGGUUACCCGCGACAGGACGGAAAGACCCCAUGGAGCUUUACUGCAGAUUGAUAUUGAGUACCUGUGAAGCAUGUACAGGAUAGGUAGGAGACUUUGACCUUGGGACGCUAGUUUCAAGUGAGUCGCUGUUGGGAUACUACCCUUGCUUCAUGGUUGCUCUAACCCACACGCAUAAUCGGCGUGGGAGACAGUGUCUGUCGGGCAGUUUGACUGGGGCGGUCGCCUCCUAAAGAGUAACGGAGGCGCCCAAAGGUUCCCUCAACAUGGUUGGAAAUCAUGUGUAGAGUGUAAAGGUAUAAGGGAGCUUGACUGCGAGAGCUACAACUCGAGCAGGUAGGAAACUAGGGCUUAGUGAUCCGGUGGUACCGCAUGGAAGGGCCAUCGCUCAACGGAUAAAAGCUACCCUGGGGAUAACAGGCUUAUCUCCCCCAAGAGUUCACAUCGACGGGGAGGUUUGGCACCUCGAUGUCGGCUCGUCGCAUCCUGGGGCUGUAGUCGGUCCCAAGGGUUGGGCUGUUCGCCCAUUAAAGCGGCACGCGAGCUGGGUUCAGAACGUCGUGAGACAGUUCGGUCCCUAUCCGUCGCGGGCGUAGGAAAUUUGAGAGGAUCUGCCCUUAGUACGAGAGGACCGGGGUGGACUUACCGCUGGUGUACCAGUUGUUCCGCCAGGAGCACCGCUGGGUAGCUAUGUAGGGAAGGGAUAAGCGCUGAAAGCAUCUAAGUGCGAAGCCCACCUCAAGAUGAGAUUUCCCAUUCUUUAUGAAUUAAGAGCCCUGAGAGAUGAUCAGGUUGAUAGGCUGGAAGUGGAAGUCCUGCGAGGGAUGGAGCGGACCAGUACUAAUAGCUCGAGGACUUUACCAA